This 254-nucleotide ribosomal RNA is filed under the name uncultured prokaryote. Its description in RNAcentral is "partial 16S ribosomal RNA". It matches the Rfam family "Bacterial small subunit ribosomal RNA", at positions 524 to 776 of the family's 1533-position model. The record is from RNAcentral.
UACGGGGGGAGCAUGCGUUGUUCGGAUUUACUGGGCGUAAAGGGCGCGUAGGCGGUCACUACAAGUCAGUUGUGAAAUCUCUGGGCUUAACUCAGAACGGUCAACUGAUACUGUCGGACUAGAGUGCAGAAGGGGCAACUGGAAUUCUCGGUGUAGCGGUGAAAUGCGUAGAUAUCGGGAAGAACACCCGUGGCGAAGGCGGCUCUCUGGGACGGUACUGACGCUGAGACGCGAAAGCGUGGGGAGCAAACAGG